UUUAAAGAGUGCGUAAUAGCUCACUAGUCGAGUGGCUCUGCGCCGAAGAUAAACGGGGCUAAAACUUACUACCGAAGCUUUGGAUACAGAAAUGUAUGGUAGAGGAGCAUCGUAUACUGGGAAGAAGCAAAUUCGUAAGGAUUUGUGGACUGUAUACGAGAGAGAAUGUUGGCAUGAGUAGCGCAAGGCAGGUGAGAAUCCUGCCCGCCGAAAAUCUAAGGAUUCCUGAGGAAGGUUCGUCCGCUCAGGGUUAGUCGGGACCUAAGCCGAGGGCGAAAGCCGUAGGCGAUGGAUAACAGGCAGAGAUUCCUGUACCACCGGAGGUCGUUUUAAGCGAAGUGGGGACACAGAAGGAUAGACUGAGCACGCCGCUGGUAGAGCGUGUCCAAGCGUCGAGGUAGGCAAUGUAGGCAAAUCCGCAUAGUCAAUACUGAGGCGUUACG
Molecule: ribosomal RNA, 443 nt
Filed under: Anaerotruncus colihominis
Lineage: Bacteria; Bacillati; Bacillota; Clostridia; Eubacteriales; Oscillospiraceae
Also listed under: 1 other name
Description: partial 23S ribosomal RNA
Rfam family: Bacterial large subunit ribosomal RNA
Source: RNAcentral